This 285-nucleotide small RNA is filed under the name Pongo abelii (Sumatran orangutan). RNAcentral's name for it is "processed transcript". Lineage: Eukaryota; Metazoa; Chordata; Mammalia; Primates; Hominidae. The record is from RNAcentral.
CCCUACACCAACUCCUCUUCCUCCCUGACAGACCGAGUUUCAAUCAGAAGCUACAGGACAGACAUUAGCAUGUCAGACUUUGAGAACUCCAGGGAAUUUGGAGCCAAUGACAACAUGGGAGCCUCUUCGAUCACUCAGGAGACAUCCCUUGGAGGAAAAGAUGAGUUUGUUGCCACCACUGAGAGCACCACAGAGACCAGAGAACCCAAGAAGGCAAAAAGGGUGAGGAGGAAGAAGGAAGCCCCACUAUGUGACAAGGAAAUGCAGCAUGAGGGGCUGCAGUUA